RNAcentral lists this ribosomal RNA (493 nucleotides) under Salmonella enterica subsp. enterica serovar Kentucky. RNAcentral describes it as "bacterial SSU rRNA". It matches the Rfam family "Bacterial small subunit ribosomal RNA", at positions 1 to 481 of the family's 1533-position model. Lineage: Bacteria; Pseudomonadati; Pseudomonadota; Gammaproteobacteria; Enterobacterales; Enterobacteriaceae. The record is from RNAcentral.
UUAAAUUGAAGAGUUUGAUCAUGGCUCAGAUUGAACGCUGGCGGCAGGCCUAACACAUGCAAGUCGAACGGUAACAGGAAGCAGCUUGCUGCUUUGCUGACGAGUGGCGGACGGGUGAGUAAUGUCUGGGAAACUGCCUGAUGGAGGGGGAUAACUACUGGAAACGGUGGCUAAUACCGCAUAACGUCGCAAGACCAAAGAGGGGGACCUUCGGGCCUCUUGCCAUCAGAUGUGCCCAGAUGGGAUUAGCUUGUUGGUGAGGUAACGGCUCACCAAGGCGACGAUCCCUAGCUGGUCUGAGAGGAUGACCAGCCACACUGGAACUGAGACACGGUCCAGACUCCUACGGGAGGCAGCAGUGGGGAAUAUUGCACAAUGGGCGCAAGCCUGAUGCAGCCAUGCCGCGUGUAUGAAGAAGGCCUUCGGGUUGUAAAGUACUUUCAGCGGGGAGGAAGGUGUUGUGGUUAAUAACCGCAGCAAUUGACGUUACCCG